CUCAACACACCUUAUCCUGUUACAAAACCCCCACCGAAAAAUUGAAAAUUCGCAAAUUCCCGCACCAAUUCCUCACUCGCUCUCUCAAAAACCAGAACACAAACACUUCAUCUGCAACAAUGGCGACGAAGAAGGCGAUGGAAGUCGUGAAGGGCCUGGAUCUGCAGCGCUACAUGGGGCGGUGGUACGAGAUUGCCUCCGUUCCGUCGCGGUUUCAGCCCAAGAACGGCGAGAACACGCGUGCCACCUACACUCUGAAAGACGACGGCACCGUGAAUGUGCUGAACGAGACUUGGACCGACGGGAAGAGGGGGUUCAUCGAGGGCACCGCCUACAAGGCGGACCCGAAUAGCGACGAGGCGAAACUGAAGGUGAGGUUUUAUGUUCCGCCAUUUCUGCCGAUCAUUCCUGUCACGGGGGAUUACUGGGUUUUGUUCAUUGACGAGGAUUAUCAGUACGCUUUGAUUGGCCAGCCUAGCAGGAAUUCCCUUUGGAUAUUGAGCAGGCGGCCUCAUCUGGAUGAAGAAAUAUACAACCAGCUGGUCCAAAGGGCGGCGGACGAGGGCUACGACGUGAGCAAACUCCACAAGACGCGGCAGAGCGAGAGUCCGCCGGAGGGAGAAGAAGGCCCCAAAGACACCAAGGGGCAUCUGGUGGUUCAAAUCCAUCUUCGGAAGAUAGAGAUAAUCUCGUAGCACACUCCUACUGUAGCAGUGUAAUCAUAUUUGGGAGUCUGAGUGAGUGUAUGUUUUUGUAAUAAGAAACGCUGAGACCCCCUUUGCAACUUGUAGACUGCCUCUCUACCCUAGCAGCGACGUCGUUUUGUGAUUAUGUUAGUUGUUGUACUGUAACAACGUUGUAAAGUUUCCAUCAAGUUGGUUUUGUUAUGCAUUUUGUGUCUGGAUUUUGAUCGAA
Molecule: non-coding RNA, 915 nt
Organism: Malus domestica (apple)
Lineage: Eukaryota; Viridiplantae; Streptophyta; Magnoliopsida; Rosales; Rosaceae
Source: RefSeq, a predicted model, not a curated record